This 1477-nucleotide ribosomal RNA is filed under the name metagenome. Its description in RNAcentral is "bacterial SSU rRNA". It matches the Rfam family "Bacterial small subunit ribosomal RNA". The record is from RNAcentral.
AGAGUUUGAUCAUGGCUCAGGAUGAACGCUAGCGGCAGGCCUAAUACAUGCAAGUCGAACGGUAAAUAUUUAGCAAUAAAUAUGAGAGUGACGUACGGGUGCGUAACACGUAUGCAACCUACCCUUUACAGGCGGAUAGCUCGGGGAAACUCGAAUUAACCCGCCGUAAUAUAAUUGGAUGGCAUCAUCUGGUUAUUAAAUCUACGGAGGUAAAGGAUGGGCAUGCGUCUGAUUAGUUAGUUGGCGGGGUAACGGCCCACCAAGACGAUGAUCAGUAGGGGAACUGAGAGGUUGAUCCCCCACACUGGCACUGAGAUACGGGCCAGACUCCUACGGGAGGCAGCAGUAGGGAAUAUUGGUCAAUGGAUGGAAGUCUGAACCAGCCAUGCCGCGUGCAGGAAGAAGGCCUUCUGGGUUGUAAACUGCUUUUGCCAGGGGAUAAAAUGACCUUGCGAGGUUAAUUGAAGGUACCUGGUGAAUAAGCCACGGCUAACUACGUGCCAGCAGCCGCGGUAAUACGUAGGUGGCAAGCGUUGUCCGGAUUUAUUGGGUUUAAAGGGUGCGUAGGCGGCUUAUUAAGUCAGUGGUGAAAUACUCUAGCUCAACUAGAGGGGUGCCAUUGAUACUGAUGAGCUUGAGUACAGAUGAGGUAGGCGGAAUUGACGGUGUAGCGGUGAAAUGCUUAGAUAUCGUCAAGAACACCUAUAGCGAAGGCAGCUUACUAGGCUGUAACUGACGCUGAGGCACGAAAGUGUGGGGAUCAAACAGGAUUAGAUACCCUGGUAGUCCACACUGUAAACGUUGAUUACUCGCUGUGUGCGAUAUACAGUACGCGGCCAAGCGAAAGCGAUAAGUAAUCCACCUGGGGAGUACGCCGGCAAUGGUGAAACUCAAAGGAGUUGACGGGGGUCCGCACAAGCGGUGGAGCAUGUGGUUUAAUUCGAUGAUACGCGAGGAACCUUACCUGGACUAGAAUGCCCUUGACCGAUCCAGAGAUGGAUUUUUCCGCAAGGACAAGGAGCAAGGUGCUGCAUGGCCGUCGUCAGCUCGUGCCGUGAGGUGUCGGGUUAAGUCCCGCAACGAGCGCAACCCCUAUUUUUAGUUGCCAACAGGUUAAGCUGGGGACUCUAAAAAGACUGCCCGCGCAAGCGGAGAGGAAGGUGGGGACGACGUCAGGUCAUCAUGGCCCUUACGUCCAGGGCUACACACGUGCUACAAUGGCGUAUACAGAGUGUUGCAAACCAGCGAUGGUAAGCCAAUCACAAAAGUACGUCUCAGUUCGGAUUGCAGGCUGCAACUCGCCUGCAUGAAGUUGGAAUCGCUAGUAAUCGCGCAUCAGCAAUGGCGCGGUGAAUACGUUCCCGGACCUUGUACACACCGCCCGUCAAGCCAUGAGAGUCGGGAGGACCUGAAGGCAGUUGCUGUAAGGCGCUGUUUAGGGUUAAACCGAUGAUUAGGGCUAAGUCGUAACAAGGUA